Molecule: ribosomal RNA, 254 nt
Filed under: uncultured bacterium
Lineage: Bacteria
Description: partial 16S ribosomal RNA
Rfam family: Bacterial small subunit ribosomal RNA
Source: RNAcentral
UACGUAGGGGGCGAGCGUUGUCCGGAUUUAUUGGGCGUAAAGAGCUCGUAGGCGGUUUGGUAAGUCGGGUGUGAAAUCUCCACGCUCAACGUGGAGGGGCCACUCGAUACUGCCAUGACUCGAGUCCGGUAGAGGAGUGUGGAAUUCCCGGUGUAGCGGUGAAAUGCGCAGAUAUCGGGAGGAACACCCGUAGCGAAGGCGGCACUCUGGGCCGGAACUGACGCUGAGGAGCGAAGGCGUGGGGAGCGAACAGG